CUGCGAAUGGCUCAUUAUAUAAGUUAUCGUUUAUUUGAUAGUACCUUACUACUUGGAUAACCGUGGUAAUUCUAGAGCUAAUACAUGCUAAAAAUCCCGACUUCGGAAGGGAUGUAUUUAUUAGAUUAAAAACCAAUGCCCUUCGGGGCUCCUUGGUGAUUCAUGAUAACUCCUCGAAUCGCAUGGCCUUGUGCCGGCGAUGGUUCAUUCAAAUUUCUUCCCUAUCAACUUUCGAUGUUUGGGUAUUGGCCAAACAUGGUUGCAACGGGUAACGGAGGGUUAGGGCUCGACCCCGGAGAAGGAGCCUGAGAAACGGCUACUACAUCCAAGGAAGGCAGCAGGCGCGCAAAUUACCCAAUCCCGACACGGGGAGGUAGUGACAAUAAAUACUGAUACAGGGCUCUUUCGGGUCUUGUAAUUGGAAUGAGUACAAUUUAAAUCCCUUAACGAGGAACAAUUGGAGGGCAAGUCUGGUGCCAGCAGCCGCGGUAAUUCCAGCUCCAAUAGCGUAUAUUAAAGUUGUUGUGGUUAAAAAGCUCGUAGUUGAACCUUGGGCCUGGCUGGCCGGUCCGCCUCACCGCGUGUACUGGUCCGGCCGGGCCUUUCCCUCUGUGGAACCCCAUGCCCUUCACUGGGUGUGGCGGGGAAACAGGACUUUUACUUUGAAAAAAUUAGAGUGCUCCAGGCAGGCCUAUGCUCGAAUACAUUAGCAUGGAAUAAUAGAAUAGGACGUGUGGUUCUAUUUUGUUGGUUUCUAGGACCGCCGUAAUGAUUAAUAGGGACAAUCGGGGGCAUCAGUAUUCAAUUGUCAGAGGUGAAAUUCUUGGAUUUAUUGAAGACUAACUACUGCGAAAGCAUUUGCCAAGGAUGUUUUCAUUAAUCAGGAACGAAAGUUAGGGGAUCGAAGACGAUCAGAUACCGUCGUAGUCUUAACCAUAAACUAUGCCGACUAGGGAUCGGACGAUGUUAUUUUUUGACUCGUUCGGCACCUUACGAGAAAUCAAAGUGCUUGGGCUCC
RNAcentral lists this ribosomal RNA (1018 nucleotides) under Baipadisphaeria spathulospora. RNAcentral describes it as "SSU rRNA". It matches the Rfam family "Eukaryotic small subunit ribosomal RNA", at positions 87 to 1115 of the family's 1831-position model. The record is from RNAcentral. Lineage: Eukaryota; Fungi; Ascomycota; Sordariomycetes; Hypocreales; Nectriaceae.